Molecule: unclassified non-coding RNA, 419 nt
Filed under: Acacia hemsleyi
Lineage: Eukaryota; Viridiplantae; Streptophyta; Magnoliopsida; Fabales; Fabaceae
Description: partial external transcribed spacer
Rfam family: Eukaryotic small subunit ribosomal RNA (bases 368-419)
Source: RNAcentral
GUGGUGUUUGGAUCGUCCCUGCCGGCAGGCGAUCCGCGUCGGUCAAGCGAGGUGGUAUGGAUCCCCAGAGGCCGGUUCUUGUGCUGCCUACCCCUUCAGGGGAAGCGGGCCACUUUCGGCGCAAGCCUCCAUCCGGCGCCCUCCGACGGGCGCAGGAGGACAACGGAGCACCCCCCGCGUUCCACCGAGCCUCAGCCGGUCGCGUGGCGCGCGGGGACGUGCGAUGCUCUCGGACCCAGCGAACGCCGUGGGCGAGGACUCACGUCCCAGUCCCUAUCGAAAGCUCCGACAGAAUGCAAGACGGCCGCUCCCGACCCCCGACCGCCCCGGCGGCUCAGGGGCGAGGCGCGGCGUCGCGGAGGAAUGCUACCUGGUUGAUCCUGCCAGUAGUCAUAUGCUUGUCUCAAAGAUUAAGCCAU